UACGGGGGGGGCAAGCGUUGUUCGGAAUUACUGGGCGUAAAGGGCUCGUAGGUGGCCAACUAAGUCAGACGUGAAAUCCCCAGGCUCAACUUGGGAACUGCGUCUGAUACUGGAUGGCUUGAAUUCGGGAGAGGGAUGCAGAAUUCCAGGUGUAGCGGUGAAAUGCGUAGAUAUCAGGAGGAACACCGGUGGCGAAGGCGGGUCUCUGGGCCGAUACUGACGCUGAGGAGCGAAAGCGUGGGGAGCGAACAGG
Molecule: ribosomal RNA, 253 nt
Filed under: uncultured bacterium
Lineage: Bacteria
Description: partial 16S ribosomal RNA
Rfam family: Bacterial small subunit ribosomal RNA
Source: RNAcentral